GGAGUUAGCCGGUGCUUCUUCUGUGAGUGAUGUCCUUCCUGCCGGUUAUUGACCCGCAGGCCUUCUUCCUCACUGAAAGUGCUUUACAACCCGAAGGCCUUCUUCACACACGCGGCAUGGCUGGAUCAGGGUUGCCCCCAUUGUCCAAUAUUCCCCACUGCUGCCUCCCGUAGGAGUCUGGGCCGUGUCUCAGUCCCAGUGUGGCUGAUCAUCCUCUCAUACCAGCUACGGAUCGUCGCCUUGGUGAGCCGUUACCUCACCAACCAGCUAAUCCGACAUAGGCUCAUCCGAUAGCGCGAGGCCCGAAGGUCCCCCGCUUUCCCCCGUAGGGCGUAUGCGGUAUUAGCCUGGGUUUCCCCAGGUUAUCCCCCACUACCGGGCAGAUUCCUAUGCAUUACUCACCCGUCCGCCGCUCGCCACCAGGGAGCAAGCUCCCCGUGCUGCCGCUCGACUUGCAUGUGUUAGGCCUGCCGCCAGCGUUCAAUCUGAACCAGGAUCAAACUCUGA
This 507-nucleotide ribosomal RNA is filed under the name uncultured bacterium. Its description in RNAcentral is "partial 16S ribosomal RNA". The record is from RNAcentral.